UUUUUUUUAGGAUUUUUUGUCGCUCAGAACGAACGCUGGCGGCAGGCUUAACACAUGCAAGUCGAGCGCGUAGCAAUACGAGCGGCAGACGGGUGAGUAACGCGUGGGAAUCUACCCUUUUCUACGGAAUAACGCAGGGAAACUUGUGCUAAUACCGUAUACGCCCUUUGGGGGAAAGAUUUAUCGGAGAAGGAUGAGCCCGCGUUGGAUUAGCUAGUUGGUGGGGUAAAGGCCUACCAAGGCGACGAUCCAUAGCUGGUCUGAGAGGAUGAUCAGCCACAUUGGGACUGAGACACGGCCCAAACUCCUACGGGAGGCAGCAGUGGGGAAUAUUGGACAAUGGGCGCAAGCCUGAUCCAGCCAUGCCGCGUGAGUGAUGAAGGCCCUAGGGUUGUAAAGCUCUUUCACCGGUGAAGAUAAUGACGGUAACCGGAGAAGAAGCCCCGGCUAACUUCGUGCCAGCAGCCGCGGUAAUACGAAGGGGGCUAGCGUUGUUCGGAAUUACUGGGCGUAAAGCGCACGUAGGCGGACAUUUAAGUCAGGGGUGAAAUCCCGGGGCUCAACCCCGGAACUGCCUUUGAUACUGGGUGUCUAGAGUCCGGAAGAGGUGAGUGGAAUUCCGAGUGUAGAGGUGAAAUUCGUAGAUAUUCGGAGGAACACCAGUGGCGAAGGCGGCUCACUGGUCCGGUACUGACGCUGAGGUCGAAAGGACGG
This 714-nucleotide ribosomal RNA is filed under the name Sinorhizobium kostiense. RNAcentral's name for it is "bacterial SSU rRNA". It matches the Rfam family "Bacterial small subunit ribosomal RNA", at positions 1 to 764 of the family's 1533-position model. The record is from RNAcentral. Lineage: Bacteria; Pseudomonadati; Pseudomonadota; Alphaproteobacteria; Hyphomicrobiales; Rhizobiaceae.